UACGAAGGGGGCGAGCGUUGUUCGGAAUCACUGGGCGUAAAGGGAGCGUAGGCGGCGUGGUAAGUCAGAUGUGAAAUCCCGGGGCUCAACCCCGGAACUGCAUCCGAUACUGCCAUGCUAGAGGAUUGGAGAGGUAGCUGGAAUUCUUGGUGUAGCAGUGAAAUGCGUAGAGAUCAAGAGGAACACUCGUGGCGAAAGCGAGCUACUGGACAAUUCCUGACGCUGAGGCUCGAAGGCUAGGGUAGCGAAAGGG
RNAcentral lists this ribosomal RNA (253 nucleotides) under uncultured bacterium. Its description in RNAcentral is "partial 16S ribosomal RNA". It matches the Rfam family "Bacterial small subunit ribosomal RNA", at positions 524 to 776 of the family's 1533-position model. The record is from RNAcentral.